Molecule: ribosomal RNA, 528 nt
Filed under: uncultured bacterium
Lineage: Bacteria
Description: bacterial SSU rRNA
Rfam family: Bacterial small subunit ribosomal RNA
Source: RNAcentral
AUGGGCCCGCGUCUGAUUAGCCAGUUGGCAGGGUAACGGCCUACCAAAGCGACGAUCAGUAGCCGGCCUGAGAGGGCGGACGGCCACACUGGGACUGAGACACGGCCCAGACUCCUACGGGAGGCAGCAGUGGGGGAUAUUGCACAAUGGGGGGAACCCUGAUGCAGCGACGCCGCGUGGAUGAAGAAGCGCCUCGGCGCGUAAAGCCCUGUCAGCAGGGAAGAAAAUGACGGUACCUGAAGAAGAAGCCCCGGCUAACUACGUGCCAGCAGCCGCGGUAAUACGUAGGGGGCAAGCGUUAUCCGGAUUUACUGGGUGUAAAGGGAGCGCAGACGGCAGUGCAAGUCUGGAGUGAAAGCCCGGGGCCCAACCCCGGAACUGCUCUGGAAACUGUGCGGCUAGAGUACUGGAGGGGCAGGCGGAAUUCCUAGUGUAGCGGUGAAAUGCGUAGAUAUUAGGAGGAACACCAGUGGCGAAGGCGGCCUGCUGGACAGUAACUGACGUUGAGGCUCGAAAGCGUGGGGAGCA